Molecule: ribosomal RNA, 301 nt
Filed under: uncultured bacterium
Lineage: Bacteria
Description: partial 16S ribosomal RNA
Rfam family: Bacterial small subunit ribosomal RNA
Source: RNAcentral
CAGUCGCCACGGGAAUACGUAGGGUGCAAGCGUUAAUCGGAAUUACUGGGCGUAAAGCGUGCGCAGGCGGUUAUAUAAGUCAGAUGUGAAAUCCCCGGGCUCAACCUGGGAACUGCAUUUGAGACUGUAUGGCUAGAGUGUGUCAGAGGGGGGUAGAAUUCCACGUGUAGCAGUGAAAUGCGUAGAUAUGUGGAGGAAUACCGGUGGCGAAGGCGGCCCCCUGGACAAAGACUGACGCUCAGGUGCGAAAGCGUGGGGAGCAAACAGGAUUAGAUACCCCAGUAGUCCCUGUCUCUUAUAC